GACGAACGCUGGCGGCGUGCUUAACACAUGCAAGUCGAACGGAAAGGCCCUGCUUUUGUGGGGUGCUCGAGUGGCGAACGGGUGAGUAACACGUGAGUAACCUGCCCUUGACUUUGGGAUAACUUCAGGAAACUGGGGCUAAUACCGGAUAGGAGCCCCUGCUGCAUGGUGGGGGUUGGAAAGUUUCGGCGGUUGGGGAUGGACUCGCGGCUUAUCAGCUUGUUGGUGGGGUAGUGGCUUACCAAGGCUUUGACGGGUAGCCGGCCUGAGAGGGUGACCGGCCACAUUGGGACUGCGGGACGGCGCAGUGUGCUACGGGAGACAGCAGUCGCGAAUAUGGUACAAUGGUCGCAAGUCUGAUGAAGAGACGCCGCGUUCGGGAUGACGGCCUUCGGGUUGUAAACCGCUUUCGCCUGAGACGAAGCGGGAGUGACGGUAAUGGGUAAAGAAGCACCGGCUAACUACGUG
RNAcentral lists this ribosomal RNA (468 nucleotides) under uncultured bacterium. Its description in RNAcentral is "partial 16S ribosomal RNA". It matches the Rfam family "Bacterial small subunit ribosomal RNA", at positions 28 to 507 of the family's 1533-position model. The record is from RNAcentral.